AUGAGCGGGGCCGGCGCUGCGCUGGCCUCUUCGGCAUUGGACCUCCGCGGGGAGGACGGGAGGGCGGAAUGGCUGCGCUUCUACGAUCGGGUCGAGGCGCAGGUGGAGGCGCUGGCCGCCGACCGCGCGCAUCUGGAGGCGGCGAGGGGUGAGGGGGAGGAAGCCUGCAGGGUGAUACUUCCAGUGGACAAGGCCACGCUCGCCGAAGCCCAAGAGGGUGAUCUGGAGGAUGUCAGAGCUUGUAGAGGUCUUCUUGCCCUACCAAGCACUGACUCUAAGGAAGUUCAAGAUCGUCUAGAGCUUGGUGAAGACGCUGGGGAUCAUGAGCACAGUGUAAAAGCGUUGAGGGCAAACCUUAGAAAACUAAAGGGAGCUUUUGAGACCCUGAUGUCAAAGAGCGAUAAGGAUAUUUAUUCAGUAAAAGUUGUUCUUUUGAACCAGUUGAAGACAAUGGAAAAGGACAGCACGCUCUUUGAGAACAAGAAACUAGAGGCAGCACAAGCUACUGAAGAAGCGAAGAAGCUUCAGCAGAACGUACAGGCGCUGCAGGUCGCAACCCAAAACAAGGACAAUGAGAUUGGCAGACUCCAAGCAGAAUCUCUCGUGGCUCAACAGAAGCUACGUGAAAUGGAUUCCUUGCUGAAGGAGAAAAAUGAAAGUAUUGAAAAACUCCGUGCGGAAAAUAUUGGAUUACGUGCUGUAAAGGAUUUUGUUUGGAGCCAGUUCCAGAUAAAGGAGCAGGAGCUGCUGGACCACGCCAUCCUUCUGAAGAACAAGGAAGUGGCGGCAGCACAAGCUACUGCGCAAAAGCUAGUAAAGGAGAAUCGCACGAUGGGAGCAGAAGUUGUUGAUUAUGGAAACAAGUUAAUGAUUCUAGAGGAGAAGCUAAAGGAGACGCGCUCCUUGGUUAAGGAGAAAGAUGACGAAAUCCAAAAACUCAAAAAUCGCCAACCUGAGACCACGAGUCUGAAGCGCAAGUGCGCCUCUUCCCUGUCAAAUGAGACUAGUAAAAGGCGCAGGAGGGAUAUCAUUGGGAUGCAUAUAUCUUCUAUUUGGCGAUGCAGGUCCGGCAGACAGUGUUUUGGACGUCGCACAAUGCAAAUCUUUGUCAAGACCACAAAUAGCAGGACUUACACUCUUAAGGUCAAGAGUUCAAGUACGAUCAGGGAUGUUGAGGGCAGAAUCCGUGAUGUUGAUCACAGCCUAGACUGCUUUCGUCUCAUCUUUGCUGGGAAGAGGUUGGUGUAUGAGCGCACGCUGGCAGAUUACAACUUUAAGAAUUUGAGCACACUAGAACUUGACCCUCGCCUUCGUAUAUCUGUCAAGACGCUGACUGGCAAGAUCAUUGAUAUUGCUGUUUGGAGUUCAGAUACCAUCAAGCAUGUCAAGGUGAUGAUUCACGGUCAGGGUGUAAUGCCUUGGUAUGAGCAGCGCCUCAUCUUUGCCGGCAAGGAGCUGGAGGAUGGCCGCACCCUUGCAUAUUACAAAAUUGAGAAUUCAUGCACUCUCGAGCUUGUCCCUUGGCUCCAUAUCUAUGUCAAGACGCUGACCGGCAAGACCAUUAAUUUUGCGGUUUUGAGUUCAGACAAGAUUGAGGAUGUCAAGGCGAUGAUUUAUGGUCUGGAGGGCAUUCCUUUGUCUACGCAGCGCCUCAUCUUUGCCGGCAAGGAGCUCGAGGAUGGCUGCACCCUGGCGGGCUAUGGCAUUCAGACUUUCAGCACGCUUCACCUUGUCAUGCGCCUGAGAGGGGGUAGAGUGAUCCGCAUCAAGACGCGGACUGGCAACACCAUUUUCCUUUCAGCGGUUGGGAAUAACAUCACGAUUGAGGAUUUCAAGGCCAUGAUUCACAAGAAAGAGGGCAUUCCCCCGUCGCAGCAGCACCUCUUCAUUGCCGGGAAGCCGCUGGAGAACGACCGCACCCUGGGGAGCUACAUCAGCCAUGAUUCCGACAUCGACAUUGACCUUUUGUGUUGGCGCGCGCCGCUGCCUGGUCGGAUUGUGGACAGGGCGCGUAGGUUGCGGAAGAAGCAGGAGCUUGGGCACGGCUGUCUGUAA
This 2055-nucleotide ribosomal RNA is filed under the name Triticum aestivum (bread wheat). RNAcentral describes it as "partial small subunit ribosomal RNA". The record is from RNAcentral. Lineage: Eukaryota; Viridiplantae; Streptophyta; Magnoliopsida; Poales; Poaceae.